Molecule: ribosomal RNA, 253 nt
Filed under: uncultured bacterium
Lineage: Bacteria
Description: partial 16S ribosomal RNA
Rfam family: Bacterial small subunit ribosomal RNA
Source: RNAcentral
UACGAAGGGGGCUAGCGUUGCUCGGAAUCACUGGGCGUAAAGCGCACGUAGGCGGCUUUUUAAGUCAGGGGUGAAAUCCUGGAGCUCAACUCCAGAACUGCCUUUGAUACUGGCUGUCUUGAGUUCGGGAGAGGUGAGUGGAAUGCCGAGUGUAGAGGUGAAAUUCGUAGAUAUUCGCAAGAACACCAGUGGCGAAGGCGGCUCACUGGCCCGGUACUGACGCUGAGGUGCGAAAGCGUGGGGAGCAAACAGG